CCAGAAAGUGGAUGGAAAUAAGAGAUAUGCAUGUCAUCAAAGUGCUACCUGAAGAUUCCAUUGUCGUUUGGGGAUUGCAAAAAUGUUUUUAAGCCGCAGAAGAACUCUGCAGCAUCAAUGCUUAGACUUCUUCCUUAAUUCUACACAUUUGCCUUUAUUUAGUUUCCCCUUUAGCCUUUUUACAAAAAAAAAAAAGAGGCUAUUUUGCUCUCUGAGCACUGUUCAUCUCCCUUCUCCCUCCCUUUCAAUUCUUGAUAUUAAAAAUCUAUUUCCCCCUUUCCCAGACAAAAGGAAUGUAUAAAGGAUUUCAGCGACUUUGAGAUAACAAAGGCGCCACCAUUGCAGAGGUUCGCCCCGCCUCUGUUUGAUGGCAAACAAAUUCUUGCACUUGUAUUAGGGCUUUUAAGGCUAUAAUUGAACACGGCGCGUCUAGGAGAACCGAAAACAGUUCUAGACUGACCUGCGGUUUUAUAGCACUUUUGGCAGUCAACUUCAGCUUGUGUCAGAACAGACAUGACAGAACUGACCAACGGUUAAUCGGGAAACACCACCUACUUGGAAUCGCUGCAGUCCCCUCUUAAUUAAAUAAAUCACAAACGUUGGGGAUAGAACGGGCUGCAGUUCUGAAAAAAGUCAUUGGGACUUCCACGUUUAGAAAGCAAAUAACACCGUGCAUUGCCCCUGCUAACCUCGGUGAGAGCA
This is a long non-coding RNA of Dermochelys coriacea (leatherback sea turtle), 702 nucleotides long. RefSeq lists it as uncharacterized. The record is from RefSeq and is a predicted model, not a curated record. The transcript is spliced from 2 exons. NCBI's taxonomy places the organism in Eukaryota, Metazoa, Chordata, Testudines, Dermochelyidae.